GAUGAACGCUGGCGGCGUGCCUAACACAUGCAAGUCGAGCGAAAAGACGAGGAGUUCGCUCCUCUGUCGUUAGCGGCGGAUGGGUGAGUAACAAGUGGAUAACCUAUCUAUAAGACUGGGCUUACUUCGGGAACCCGGAGCCAAUAUCGGAUUAUAUAUUGAACUGCAUGGUUCUAUCGUGGAUGACGGUUUUGUUGUUACUUAUAGAUGGAUCCGCGCCGCAUUAGCUACUUGGUAAGGUAACGGCUUACCAAGGCAACGAUGGGUAGCCGACCUGAGAGGGUGAUCGGCCACACUGGAACUGAGACACGGUCCAGACUCCUACGGGAGGCAGCAGUAGGGAAUCUUCCGCAAGGGGCGAAAGCCGGACGGUGCAGCGCCGCGGGAGUGAUGAAGGUCUUCGGAUCGUAAAUCUCUGUUAUUAGGGAAGAACAAAUGUGUAAGUAGCUAUGCACGUCUUGACGGUACCUAAACAGAAAGCCACGGCUAACUACGUG
RNAcentral lists this ribosomal RNA (497 nucleotides) under uncultured bacterium. Its description in RNAcentral is "partial 16S ribosomal RNA". It matches the Rfam family "Bacterial small subunit ribosomal RNA", at positions 28 to 507 of the family's 1533-position model. The record is from RNAcentral.